AGUCCCGUGGUGUAUAAACACAUAAGAUUGCAAAUCUCAAGAUGCAGAUUGACGUCUGCCGGGGCUU
Molecule: transfer RNA, 67 nt
Filed under: Aborichthys elongatus
Lineage: Eukaryota; Metazoa; Chordata; Actinopteri; Cypriniformes; Nemacheilidae
Description: tRNA-Cys
Rfam family: tRNA
About the family: Transfer RNA (tRNA) molecules are approximately 80 nucleotides in length.
Source: RNAcentral